UGAACGGCUGGCGGCGUGCCUAACACAUGCAAGUCGAGCGGAGAUACUGGGAGAUUCUUCGGAUGAUCCCUUAUCUUAGCGGCGGAUGGGUGAGUAACACGUGGGUAACCUGCCCUGCACAGGGGGAUAACAGCUGGAAACGGCUGUUAAUACCGCAUAUGCACACGCUGCCGCAUGGCAGAGGGUGGAAAGAUUUAUCGGUGCAGGAUGGGCCCGCGUCGGAUUAACUGGUUGGCAGGGUAACGGCCUACCAAGGUGAUGAUCCGUAGCCGACCUGAGAGGGUGACCGGCCACAUUGGGACUGAGACACGGCCCAAACUCCUACGGGAGGCAGCAGUGGGGGAUAUUGCACAAUGGGCGCAAGCCCUGAUGCAGCGACGCCGCGUGAAGGAAGAAGUAUUUCGGUAUGUAAACUUCUAUCAGCGGGGAAGAAGAUGACGGUACCCGACUAAGAAGCCCCGGCUAACUACGUGCCAGCCGCCGC
This 484-nucleotide ribosomal RNA is filed under the name uncultured bacterium. RNAcentral's name for it is "bacterial SSU rRNA". It matches the Rfam family "Bacterial small subunit ribosomal RNA", at positions 35 to 518 of the family's 1533-position model. The record is from RNAcentral.